AUUGAACGCUGGCGGCAGGCCUAACACAUGCAAGUCGAGCGGAUGAAGGGAGCUUGCUCCUGGAUUCAGCGGCGGACGGGUGAGUGAUGCCUAGGAAUCUGCCUGGUAGUGGGGGAUAACGUCCGGAAACGGGCGCUAAUACCGCAUACGCCCUGAGGGAGAAAGUGGGGGAUCUUCGGACCUCACGCUAUCAGAUGACCCUAGGUCGGAUUAGCUAGUUGGUGGGGUAAAGGCCUACCAAGGCGACGAUCCGUAACUGGUCUGAGAGGAUGAUCAGUCACACUGGAACUGAGACACGGUCCAGACUCCUACGGGAGGCAGCAGUGGGGAAUAUUGGACAAUGGGCGAAAGCCUGAUCCAGCCAUGCCGCGUGUGUGAAGAAGGUCUUCGGAUUGUAAAGCACUUUAAGUUGGGAGGAAGGGCAGUAAGUUAAUACCUUGCUGUUUUGACGGUACCAACAGAAUAAGCACCGGCUAACUUCGUG
Molecule: ribosomal RNA, 484 nt
Filed under: uncultured bacterium
Lineage: Bacteria
Description: partial 16S ribosomal RNA
Rfam family: Bacterial small subunit ribosomal RNA
Source: RNAcentral